GUGCCAUUAGCUCAGCUGGAUAGAGUGUCAGACUCCGACUCUGAAGGCCGCGCGUUCGAAUCGCGCAUGGCACGCCA
RNAcentral lists this transfer RNA (77 nucleotides) under Clostridia bacterium. RNAcentral describes it as "tRNA-Arg". It matches the Rfam family "tRNA". From Rfam's summary of the family: Transfer RNA (tRNA) molecules are approximately 80 nucleotides in length. Their secondary structure includes four short double-helical elements and three loops (D, anti-codon, and T loops). The record is from RNAcentral. RNAcentral also lists the same sequence under 2 other names. Lineage: Bacteria; Bacillati; Bacillota; Clostridia.